CACGCCCUAAACGAUGUCAACUAGGUGUUGGGUGGGUAAAACCAUUUAGUACCGUAGCUAACGCGUGAAGUUGACCGCCUGGGGAGUACGGCCGCAAGGUUAAAACUCAAAGGAAUUGACGGGGACCCGCACAAGCGGUGGAUGAUGUGGAUUAAUUCGAUGCAACGCGAAAAACCUUACCUACCCUUGACAUGUCUGGAAUCCCGAAGAGAUUUGGGAGUGCCCGAAAGGGAACCGGAACACAGGUGC
RNAcentral lists this ribosomal RNA (249 nucleotides) under uncultured bacterium. RNAcentral describes it as "partial 16S ribosomal RNA". It matches the Rfam family "Bacterial small subunit ribosomal RNA", at positions 796 to 1041 of the family's 1533-position model. The record is from RNAcentral.